ACGCUGGCGGCGUGCCUAAUACAUGCAAGUCGAGCGGACCAAAGGGAGCUUGCUCCUGGAGGUUAGCGGCGAACGGGUGAGUAACACGUGGGCAACCUGCCUGUAAGACUGGGAUAACAUCGAGAAACUCGGUGCUAAUACCGGAUAAUAAAAAGAACUGCAUGGUCUUUUUGAAAGAUGGUUUCGACUAUCACUUACAGAUGGGCCCGCGGCGCAUUAGCUAGUUGGUGAGGUAACGGCUCACCAAGGCGACGAUGCGUAGCCGACCUGAGAGGGUGAUCGGCCACACUGGGACUGAGACACGGCCCAGACUCCUACGGGAGGCAGCAGUAGGGAAUCUUCCGCAAUGGACGAAAGUCUGACGGAGCAACGCCGCGUGAGUGAUGAAGGUUUUCGGAUCGUAAAACUCUGUUGUUAGGGAAGAACAAGUGCCGUUCGAAAGGGCGGCACCUUGACGGUACCUAACGAGAAAGCCACGGCUAACUACGUG
This 490-nucleotide ribosomal RNA is filed under the name uncultured bacterium. Its description in RNAcentral is "bacterial SSU rRNA". It matches the Rfam family "Bacterial small subunit ribosomal RNA", at positions 33 to 507 of the family's 1533-position model. The record is from RNAcentral.